GAGCUUAUUCAUAAAAGUACAGUAUGAUCCAGUAAACCUGUAAUUUUAUGUAUAAGCUAGU
This is a microRNA precursor of Ailuropoda melanoleuca (giant panda), 61 nucleotides long. Ensembl annotates it as microRNA 590. NCBI's taxonomy places the organism in Eukaryota, Metazoa, Chordata, Mammalia, Carnivora, Ursidae. The record is from Ensembl.